Molecule: transfer RNA, 75 nt
Filed under: Pelagibacteraceae bacterium BACL5 MAG-120705-bin12
Lineage: Bacteria; Pseudomonadati; Pseudomonadota; Alphaproteobacteria; Candidatus Pelagibacterales; Candidatus Pelagibacteraceae
Also listed under: 7 other names
Description: tRNA-His
Rfam family: tRNA
About the family: Transfer RNA (tRNA) molecules are approximately 80 nucleotides in length. Their secondary structure includes four short double-helical elements and three loops (D, anti-codon, and T loops). Further hydrogen bonds mediate the characteristic L-shaped molecular structure. tRNAs have two regions of fundamental functional importance: the anti-codon, which is responsible for specific mRNA codon recognition, and the 3' end, to which the tRNAs corresponding amino acid is attached (by aminoacyl-tRNA synthetases). tRNAs cope with the degeneracy of the genetic code in two manners: having more than one tRNA (with a specific anti-codon) for a particular amino acid; and 'wobble' base-pairing, i.e. permitting non-standard base-pairing at the 3rd anti-codon position.
Source: RNAcentral
GCCCGCGUAGUAUAAUGGUCAGUACGGGAGUUUGUGGAACUCUAGGAUUUGGUUCAAUUCCAAGCGCGGGUACCA